GCCUGGAAUGGGUGACACAGUAUGACUACGUAGCUGUAUUGGGGCAGCACAAAAUUUAUCCCGAUGAUGUGCAGACGUACACAAGAGAGGCCCUAUUUGCAGCUGUUAAGGACAUGUUUGGUGUGGAUCCUUCCAUUGACUGCAUCUACAAUAAAAAAACAAAACAGCAUGAAUUGUCCCAGAUCAAGUUGUGUUUCGACCGCUCGCUGCAUUUGGUAGAUUGUGAUGGCAUCAUUGGUGCAAAUGAAGAGAAAGUCCUUGGAAAUUGUCCCUUUAAAGGGAUAACAUACCCAGCAUCAGUGAGGACUGGAGGCAAGAAUUACCACUACCCCCAUGAGCUAGUAGAACUUCGAAAAAAGCGCUGGGAGGAGGCACAGGCAACAUGUGUAUCCUGGCUCUGCCAUGCACUCAUGACUGUCUAUUCGCUGAUGUGGAUAACCUUAUAAUGCAAUAUUUUGAAGGAAAAAUGGAUAUGUGGAUUCUGAUUUCUCAGAUGGCACAUGAAAUGCUCCUUGUAAGAUUUUUUUUUCUCCAUUGUUUUGGAGUGGUAAUUUUCUAAGGGGUGAAGUCCCAGCUAUUCCAUGAUAAUCAUGAGAUUAAAAUAAGACAUUAAAUUUACUGUUCAACUGCUAAGGUAAUGUUAGGUUUUUUCCACCUGUUCUUUUCUAUCUGUUUACUGUUUUUUAGUAAUGGAAUGGAUUUCAGCUACUUAUGUGCACUGGCAAUUGUACCAAGGACUAAGAAAUGGGAACAGAAAUAUUGGUUAUAUUUUUUUUUUUUUUCUGCUUGAUAUAUGAAAAGCUCCAAAAAUGUUAAAACUUUAAUAGGACCAUGAAUAUUAGCAUAUAAAUGAUCCAGAUGUCAUGUCACCUAUAGGAAAGGUGAAAUUAGAUGACUUGUGUUCUGUUAUAUGCAAAAUGUUGUUCAAGAGUCAUGCUAUUUGGAAAAUCUGUUAUUUCACUCAAGUUCCCCUUGACAGCACAACACUAAUGAGGACAGAGGGAAGCUCAUGUUGAAAAGAAUCAUUUCCCGAGAAAUAUCAAAUUGAUGCUGAGGCUUCUCUGCUCUUCCUCCUUGUGAUAUCAAGCUCAAACUCAAGUACUCUUUAGAUUUUAGCAGUAUUGAAACACCUCACUUUCACCAGUUCAUUGUUUCAAAUUAACUGCAGCUGAUACUGUCACAUGAAAGCUUAAAAGACAAAGAAAUGCAUGCUGUAGUACCACCAAGGCAAUACCUCACAAAUAUAUCCAGAUUUUUUGAAAGUACAGAGGCUAUUUCUUCGACUUUGCUGUCAUAUCAAGAUUCUGACAUUCAAGGUAAAUAAGGAUGUGUAUUUUGUUAAAUAGUUGCUGUAAAUGGCUUUAUAUCCCAAAGAUGUUUCAUGUUGUUAUUCUUUUAAAUGCUGGCUGAUAAGUAGAAGAAGGAAAAGCAAAGACAGUCUAAAUUUAAUUGAAUACUUGAUCAAACAAAACAUUCAAACCACAGCCUUUGCUUGAACUUGACCUUGAGCAGUUCAUGAACUUGAGACCACAUUGUAUGUUUGUUUGCAAGUAUGAUGUUUACAGUAAUCACAUUAGUCUGUUAACUCAAGAGAAACAUGUUUAGAUGUGAGGAAACAAAAGUGUUCUGAAGUCUGUGUAAUGCUGUUGGUAUGAUUCUUGUGCUGCAAAGUAAACUGGUACAUAUCUGAAGUAUUAAUCAUUAACUGUUAAGUAAAUCCAUUUACUGUCUUUUGCUGCUUUGUUUUGUUUACACGUGUUACAUGGUUUAUUAUGGUAGUCAUGUUCUAUUAUAUACCCAUCUUAGCCCAAUGCAGCAUGAAAAAUGUAAUGUUUACUCUAGUUUUGUUUUGUAAAAUAUCUUUACCUAUCGAUGGCUCUACAAUUGUCAGCCACCACUUUAAGUUUUUGGAAAACUUUUUUUUUUUUUUUUUAGUAAUGCUUUCAGAAUUGAUGUUAUUAUAAUUAUAUACGUCAUAAUUAUUAUUGACAUUACUAAAAUAGCAGUAUAAGAUAAAAGAGAUUGUCUUUAAUGACUAAACAUGUGGAGUCAUUCAUGUGUCAAGACAGGUAAUUAAACUCAUAGUGGGCAUGGCAUGUAUGUACAUGCCAUCCCCAGCAGCAUUGGGUUAAUGAUAUUGAUCAAAUAUUGACUAAAGGAAUAUUGGAAGCUGCUGUCACAUAUACCAUUGGUCAUAUUACUACUGUUAUGGUGUGGAUUCGUCAAGGUGAAUACUUGAGGGGGGGCAUUUGAACAAGAAAAAAAGGAGGGGGGUUGGUUAUUGCCUUGACUGUCUUACUAAAAGUUAGGUGUACCAUAUACAUCAAUUCUAGCACCCAAAAGAAAAUCUGUGACCCUCGCAUUUUUCAUCCUUAAAAAAAAAAAAGAUAAAUAAAAUAAAAAAAAAA
This 2408-nucleotide unclassified non-coding RNA is filed under the name Penaeus monodon (black tiger shrimp). Its description in RNAcentral is "ribonuclease Oy-like, transcript variant X1". Lineage: Eukaryota; Metazoa; Arthropoda; Malacostraca; Decapoda; Penaeidae. The record is from RNAcentral.